AUCCUCUCUUGCCUUUUGGCUAAGAUCAAGUGUAGUAUCUGUUCUUUUCAGAAUAAUUUCUGAAAUGUGUCCCACGGGGCACGGAAAUUAUUUUUAUUUUUGUAACUCGGAAGGAGAGCCUCUGCUUGCAUGCAUUCCAUCCACAGGUGUCCUUAGUAUUGCAGUACCUCUAGGUGACGCCGACCAUUU
This is a small nuclear RNA of Conidiobolus coronatus NRRL 28638, 189 nucleotides long. It matches the Rfam family "U2 spliceosomal RNA". Rfam says of the family: U2 is a small nuclear RNA (snRNA) component of the spliceosome (involved in pre-mRNA splicing). Complementary binding between U2 snRNA (in an area lying towards the 5' end but 3' to hairpin I) and the branchpoint sequence (BPS) of the intron results the bulging out of an unpaired adenosine, on the BPS, which initiates a nucleophilic attack at the intronic 5' splice site, thus starting the first of two transesterification reactions that mediate splicing. Lineage: Eukaryota; Fungi; Entomophthoromycota; Entomophthoromycetes; Entomophthorales; Conidiobolaceae. The record is from Rfam.